GGGGAAGAACAGUUCAGCUCUCUGUCUGCUUUGAUUGUGCCUCCUUUCCAGACUAACUACACUGAGCCACGCCAGGACACGAACUUCUACCAUACCUAGAUUCCCGCAGAAGAACGGAUCAAUCCCACGGGACAAAUGUCAGCUUUCAACAUACGAAAACAGUCUCCAAAUCCAAGCGAUAAGAAGAGUCCCUCUGUUGCAAUUAAAAGCAGACAACAGGCUACUCAUGAUAUUAAUAAACGACGGACCCUUUUGCAAGAUAACAGCUGGAUAAAGAAGAGACCUGAAGAGGAAAGUGCUGAUGAAAACUACGGAAGGGCGGUGCUUAACCAAUACAAAUCCCA
Molecule: non-coding RNA, 344 nt
Organism: Lonchura striata (white-rumped munia)
Lineage: Eukaryota; Metazoa; Chordata; Aves; Passeriformes; Estrildidae
Source: RefSeq, a predicted model, not a curated record